CUCCGCGUAGCUCAGUUGGUUAGAGCACUAGAGAAGCGAACGUCACGGGUUCAAAUCCCGUCGUGGAGC
Non-coding RNA from Cymbomonas tetramitiformis, 69 nucleotides. Lineage: Eukaryota; Viridiplantae; Chlorophyta; Pyramimonadophyceae; Pyramimonadales; Pyramimonadaceae. The record is from the annotation of a GenBank genome assembly.